AUCAAUGCAUUGAAAGUGA
RNAcentral lists this small nuclear RNA (19 nucleotides) under Arabidopsis thaliana (thale cress). RNAcentral's name for it is "snRNA_05201". The record is from RNAcentral. Lineage: Eukaryota; Viridiplantae; Streptophyta; Magnoliopsida; Brassicales; Brassicaceae.